AAGGUCCUAGCUUAAUUAAAGCGUCUGAGUUGCAUUCAGAAAAUGUGGGUUAGUAUCCUACGGGUCUUA
Molecule: transfer RNA, 69 nt
Filed under: Melanocharis citreola (Satin berrypecker)
Lineage: Eukaryota; Metazoa; Chordata; Aves; Passeriformes; Melanocharitidae
Description: tRNA-Ala
Rfam family: tRNA
About the family: Transfer RNA (tRNA) molecules are approximately 80 nucleotides in length.
Source: RNAcentral